UUCCAUUAUUGCAAAAGUGCAAUCCUACCCAGGAGUCCUGCAGGUUCUCCUCCUGCAGUUCAGGGACCCUGCUCCAUAAUGUGACACUGGAGUGCAGCUGUGGUGGUUGGAGUCCAUGUGGAAUGUGGGCUGCCAGCUGUGUGCUGUGAGCUGUGCCUCAAUGGUAGAUGGAAGGGGAAGAGAUGGGACACAGGCCACCAGGACAGGGCAAGCAGGAUUGCUGCAGCCCAUGGCCUAGGGAGUAGGGACCCUUUGCUUUGAAAUGUAAAUAGCCAAAAGAAUAGUAUCCUAUCUCACAGUGUCUGUAAAAGAACCAGAGCCUACUUUCAGCAGGCACCUGGCUGUAAGUUGCAAAACUACCUCCUAUCGUGAAGAUGUGAGAAGUUUAUUUUUCCUUUCAAUAUAACUAAUUAACAUACACAGAUGGCCUCCCCAAUUACCAGGUGAACUUAGGAUAAACUGUGUAUGAAAAAUGAUGCCAUGAAAUCUUCCACUUGAGGACUAAUUAUGGAGACCUUUCUGUCUUUGCAAUCUCUUGAGCAGAUUGUCUGUGAUUCAUGUCACAUAACA
This 570-nucleotide long non-coding RNA is filed under the name Homo sapiens (human). Its description in RNAcentral is "HSALNT0149722". The record is from RNAcentral. Lineage: Eukaryota; Metazoa; Chordata; Mammalia; Primates; Hominidae.